This 1245-nucleotide ribosomal RNA is filed under the name metagenome. Its description in RNAcentral is "bacterial LSU rRNA". It matches the Rfam family "Bacterial large subunit ribosomal RNA", at positions 1564 to 2818 of the family's 2925-position model. The record is from RNAcentral.
UGAAUACGAGAUGCUACGGCGUCGAAGCAGUCUAUGUCAUACUUCCAAGAAAAGCUUGCACUGUCAUAAACAAAUAAUGCCUGUACCAUAACCGACACAGGUGGGUAGGUAGGGUAUACUAAGGGGCGCGAGAUAACUCUCUCUAAGGAACUCGGCAAAAUGACUCCGUAACUUCGGGAGAAGGAGUGCCUUAUUUAUAAGGUUGCAAUAACAAGACCCAAGCAACUGUUUAUCAAAAACACAGGUCUCCGCUAAGUCGUAAGACGAUGUAUGGGGGCUGACGCCUGCCCAGUGCCAGAAGGUUAAAGAAGUUGGUUAGCAUUAGCGAAGCUGAUGACUGAAGCCCUGGUGAACGGCGGCCGUAACAAUAACGGUCCUAAGGUAGCGAAAUUCCUUGUCGGGUAAGUUCCGACCCGCACGAAAGGCGUAAUGAUUUGGGUACUGUCUCAGAGAGGGACUCGGUGAAAUAGACUUGUCUGUGAAGAUGCGGACUACCUGCACCUGGACAGAAAGACCCUAUGAAGCUUUACUGUAACCUGAAAUUGAAAUUGGACUUUAUUUGCGCAGUAUAGGUGGGAGGCUUUGAAGAUAUUCUUGCGGGAAUGUUGGAGCCAUCAGUGAGAUACCACUCUUGUAAUGUUAGAUUUCUAACUUUGUACCAUUAUCUGGUCAAAGAACAGUUUCAGGCGGGCAGUUUGACUGGGGCGGUCGCCUCCUAAACGGUAACGGAGGCGCACAAAGGUUUCCUCUGAACGGGUAGAAAUCGUAUCUAGAGUGUAAAGGCAUAAGGAAGCUUGACUGUGAGACCUACAAGUCGAGCAGGGACGAAAGUCGGUCUUAGUGAUCUGACGGUGCUGAGUGGAAAGGCCGUCACUCAACGGAUAAAAGUUACUCUAAGGAUAACAGGCUGAUCUCCCCCAAGAGUUCACAUCGACGGGGAGGUUUGGCACCUCGAUGUCGGCUCAUCGCAUCCUGGGGCGGUAGUACGUCCCAAGGGUUGGGCUGUUCGCCCAUGAAAGCGGUACGCGAGCUGGGUUCAGAACGUCGUGAGACAGUUCGGUCCAUAUCCGGUGUAGGCGUUAGAAUAUUGAGAGGAGCCUUCUCUAGUACGAGAGGACCGAGAAGGACACACCUCUGGUGUACCAGUUAUCGUGCCAACGGUAAACGCUGGGUAGCUAUGUGUGGAGCGGAUAACCGCUGAAAGCAUCUAAGUGGGAAGCCCACCUCAAGAUAAGUAUUCUCAUC